GCAACGCGAAGAACCUUACCUACUCUUGACAUCCAGAGAAUUUAGCAGAGAUGCUUUAGUGCCUUCGGGAACUCUGAGACAGGUGCUGCAUGGCUGUCGUCAGCUCGUGUUGUGAAAUGUUGGGUUAAGUCCCGCAACGAGCGCAACCCUUAUCCUUUGUUGCCAGCGAUUCGGUCGGGAACUCAAAGGAGACUGCCGGUGAUAAACCGGAGGAAGGUGGGGAUGACGUCAAGUCAUCAUGGCCCUUACGAGUAGGGCUACACACGUGCUACAAUGGCGUAUACAAAGAGAAGCGACCUCGCGAGAGCAAGCGGAACUCAUAAAGUACGUCGUAGUCCGGAUUGGAGUCUGCAACUCGACUCCAUGAAGUCGGAAUCGCUAGUAAUCGUAGAUCAGAAUGCUACGGUGAAUACGUUCCCGGGCCUUGUACACACCGCCCGUCACACCAUGGGAGUGGGUUGCAAAAGAAGUAGGUAGCUUAACCUUCGGGAGGGCGCUUACCACUUUGUGAUUCAUGACUGGGGUGAAGUCGUAACAAGGUAACCGUAGGGGAACCUGCGGUUGGAUCACCUCCUUACC
Molecule: ribosomal RNA, 579 nt
Filed under: Providencia stuartii
Lineage: Bacteria; Pseudomonadati; Pseudomonadota; Gammaproteobacteria; Enterobacterales; Morganellaceae
Description: bacterial SSU rRNA
Rfam family: Bacterial small subunit ribosomal RNA
Source: RNAcentral